UACAGAGGUCCCAAGCGUUGUUCGGAUUCACUGGGCGUAAAGGGUGCGUAGGCGGUCGGGUAAGUCUGACGUGAAAUCUCCGGGCCUAACCCGGAAACUGCGUUGGAAACUGCCUGGCUAGAGGAAUGGAGGGGAGACUGGAAUACUUGGUGUAGCAGUGAAAUGCGUAGAUAUCAAGUGGAACACCAGUGGCGAAGGCGAGUCUCUGGACAUUUACUGACGCUGAGGCACGAAGGCCAGGGGAGCAAACGGG
Molecule: ribosomal RNA, 253 nt
Filed under: uncultured bacterium
Lineage: Bacteria
Description: partial 16S ribosomal RNA
Rfam family: Bacterial small subunit ribosomal RNA
Source: RNAcentral